CGUGAGGGAAAGGUGAAAAGAACCCCGGAAGGGGAGUGAAAUAGAACCUGAAACCGUGUGCCUACAACCGAUCGGAGCACGUUAAAGUGUGACGAUGUGCUUUUUGUAGAACGAGCCAGCGAGUUACACUAUGUAGCAAGGUUAAGUACUUAAGGUAUGGAGCCGAAGGGAAACCGAGUCUGAAAAGGGCGAAAAGUUGCAUGGUGUAGACCCGAAACCGGGUGACCUAUCCAUGGCCAGGUUGAAGCGAGAGUAAAAUCUCGUGGAGGACCGAACCACGUUGGUGUUGAAAAACCAUGGGAUGAG
RNAcentral lists this ribosomal RNA (306 nucleotides) under Clostridium botulinum. RNAcentral's name for it is "partial 23S ribosomal RNA". It matches the Rfam family "Bacterial large subunit ribosomal RNA", at positions 502 to 808 of the family's 2925-position model. The record is from RNAcentral. Lineage: Bacteria; Bacillati; Bacillota; Clostridia; Eubacteriales; Clostridiaceae.